This 322-nucleotide ribosomal RNA is filed under the name uncultured eukaryote. Its description in RNAcentral is "partial 18S ribosomal RNA". It matches the Rfam family "Eukaryotic small subunit ribosomal RNA", at positions 1470 to 1796 of the family's 1831-position model. The record is from RNAcentral.
CCCUUAGAUGUUCUGGGCCGCACGCCUGCUACACUGAGUGGAUCAGCGGGUCAGGUUGCGCGAAAGCGUUUCCUAAUCUUUAAAUCCGCUCGUGAUGGGGAUUGACGGUUGCAAUUUUCUGUCAUGAACGAGGAAUACCUUGUAAGCGCGGGUCAUCAUCCCGCGCUGAAUACGUCCCUGCCCUUUGUACACACCGCCCGUCGCUCCUACCGAUUGAGUGGUCCGGUGAGGCUUUGGGAUCUGAGCGGAAAGAGCGUUUCGCUGUUUCUGCUCGGAAAACUCAGUCGAACCUUAUCAUUUAGAGGAAGGAGAAGUCGUAACA